GAGGGUAUAGCUCAGUGCUUAGAGGACAUGCUUAGCAUGUUCAGGGUCCUGGGUUCAAUCCCCAGUACCUCCA
This 73-nucleotide transfer RNA is filed under the name Camelus bactrianus (Bactrian camel). It matches the Rfam family "tRNA". Rfam says of the family: Transfer RNA (tRNA) molecules are approximately 80 nucleotides in length. Their secondary structure includes four short double-helical elements and three loops (D, anti-codon, and T loops). The record is from Rfam by way of RNAcentral. Lineage: Eukaryota; Metazoa; Chordata; Mammalia; Artiodactyla; Camelidae. RNAcentral also lists the same sequence under 1 other name.